RNAcentral lists this ribosomal RNA (252 nucleotides) under uncultured bacterium. RNAcentral describes it as "partial 16S ribosomal RNA". It matches the Rfam family "Bacterial small subunit ribosomal RNA", at positions 524 to 775 of the family's 1533-position model. The record is from RNAcentral.
UACGAAGGGGGCUAGCGUUGUUCGGAAUUACUGGGCGUAAAGCGCACGUAGGCGGACAUUUAAGUCAGGGGUGAAAUCCCGGGGCUCAACCCCGGAACGGCCUUUGAUACUGGGUGUCUUGAGUUCGGAAGAGGUGAGUGGAAUUGCGAGUGUAGAGGUGAAAUUCGUAGAUAUUCGGAAGAACACCAGUGGCGAAGGCGACUCACUGGCCCGUUACUGACGCUGAGGCGCGAAAGCGUGGGGAGCAACAGG